Molecule: ribosomal RNA, 860 nt
Filed under: uncultured organism
Description: bacterial SSU rRNA
Rfam family: Bacterial small subunit ribosomal RNA
Source: RNAcentral
AUCAUGGCUCAGAUUGAACGCUGGCGGCAGGCCUAACACAUGCAAGUCGAGCGGAUGAAGAGAGCUUGCUCUCUGAUUCAGCGGCGGACGGGUGAGUAAUGCCUAGGAAUCUGCCUGGUAGUGGGGGACAACGUUUCGAAAGGAACGCUAAUACCGCAUACGUCCUACGGGAGAAAGCAGGGGACCUUCGGGCCUUGCGCUAUCAGAUGAGCCUAGGUCGGAUUAGCUAGUUGGUGAGGUAAUGGCUCACCAAGGCGACGAUCCGUAACUGGUCUGAGAGGAUGAUCAGUCACACUGGAACUGAGACACGGUCCAGACUCCUACGGGAGGCAGCAGUGGGGAAUAUUGGACAAUGGGCGAAAGCCUGAUCCAGCCAUGCCGCGUGUGUGAAGAAGGUCUUCGGAUUGUAAAGCACUUUAAGUUGGGAGGAAGGGCAGUAACUUAAUACGUUGCUGUUUUGACGUUACCGACAGAAUAAGCACCGGCUAACUCUGUGCCAGCAGCCGCGGUAAUACAGAGGGUGCAAGCGUUAAUCGGAAUUACUGGGCGUAAAGCGCGCGUAGGUGGUUUGUUAAGUUGGAUGUGAAAGCCCCGGGCUCAACCUGGGAACUGCAUUCAAAACUGACAAGCUAGAGUAUGGUAGAGGGUGGUGGAAUUUCCUGUGUAGCGGUGAAAUGCGUAGAUAUAGGAAGGAACACCAGUGGCGAAGGCGACCACCUGGACAAAGACUGACGCUCAGGUGCGAAAGCGUGGGGAGCAAACAGGAUUAGAUACCCUGGUAGUCCACGCCGUAAACGAUGUCGAUUUGGAGGCUGUGUCCUUGAGACGUGGCUUCCGGAGCUAACGCGUUAAAUCGACCG